UACAGAGGUCCCGAGCGUUGUUCGGAUUCACUGGGCGUAAAGGGUGCGUAGGUGGUGAGGUAAGUCGGAUGUGAAAUACUGGAGCUUAACUCCGGAACGGCAUUGGAAACUACCUUGCUGGAGGGUUGGAGGGGGGACUGGAAUUCUCGGUGUAGCAGUGAAAUGCGUAGAUAUCGAGAGGAACACCGGUGGCGAAGGCGAGUCCCUGGACAACACCUGACACUGAGGCACGAAAGCUAGGGGAGCAAACAGG
Molecule: ribosomal RNA, 253 nt
Filed under: uncultured bacterium
Lineage: Bacteria
Description: partial 16S ribosomal RNA
Rfam family: Bacterial small subunit ribosomal RNA
Source: RNAcentral